Molecule: long non-coding RNA, 524 nt
Filed under: Homo sapiens (human)
Lineage: Eukaryota; Metazoa; Chordata; Mammalia; Primates; Hominidae
Description: non-protein coding EGFLAM-AS2:1
Source: RNAcentral
AGUGCAAGAGCAGUGAUUCUGGGAUUCAGAUAUGCCAAAGAGAAGCCAUGAAGUGCAUCUUUUAAAUUAAAAGCCUACCUAUUCUCCCAGAGGGCAUGCAUUCUAUGGAGACAGAGCUGAAUGUGUGCCAUCAGAAGACCAAAAUCAAGCGACAUUUUAAAAAGAAAACAGACUCUUCUGGGAAAAAUGGUGACUCCACAAAGUAAGAAGCCACCAAGACUUGUAGGACAUUCCUUCAUCUUCUCCUGGAUGGGGCAACCCAGCCAUGGAUAUAUGCCUCCAAUCAGCAUAAAUGCCCAUUGCUUGAUAAAGUCAACACACGUGUAAGAUGACAUAUUGCAGGUAUCUGUCACAUCAAGCAAGGUUUGAAGAAGAAACAACUGGAGAAUUUUACUUAUGUGGAUGAAAAAGCAAACAGAAGUUAGUCCAGCAUGGAAGUCACAUGCUUUGGGAUUGUAGCAUUGUGUUCUCCUGUAGGAGGUGAUCCAUUGUCAUUUAUCGGAAUCCAUCUUCACUCAAAAGGA